Non-coding RNA from Cinara cedri, 268 nucleotides. The record is from the annotation of a GenBank genome assembly. Lineage: Eukaryota; Metazoa; Arthropoda; Insecta; Hemiptera; Aphididae.
CUCCCCAUUGUACUGGCGAUAGAACCAAUGAAAACUGAAUUAUCUAAUCCGUGUAUUAUUGAAUGCAAAAUAAAAAAAAAAAAUCUGACACAUUUGUUGGUAAAACAUAAUGAUAUUAACGCGAUUAUUUUUGUCUCGUGGAGUUUUAUCUGAUGUUCCGUUGGAUUAUAAAACCGAAUCGAACGGCGGCGAAGGCGAUGAAAUAUCCCAACGAGAAUCGACGGCUGGUUAUUAAAAAGUUACAAUUAUUAAAUUGUCGUCCGACGUC